AGUGAACGCUGGCGGUAGGCCUAACACAUGCAAGUCGAACGGCAGCACAGUAAGAGCUUGCUCUUACGGGUGGCGAGUGGCGGACGGGUGAGGAAUACAUCGGAAUCUACUUUUUCGUGGGUGAUAACGUAGGGAAACUUACGCUACUACCGCAUACGACCUACGGGUGAAAGCAGGGGAUCUUCGGACCUUGCGCGAUUGAAUGAGCCGAUGUCGGAUUAGCUAGUUGGCGGGGUAAAGGCCCACCAAGGCGACGAUCCGUAGCUGGUCUGAGAGGAUGAUCAGCCACACUGGAACUGAGACACGGUCCAGACUCCUACGGGAGGCAGCAGUGGGGAAUAUUGGACAAUGGGCGAAAGCCUGAUCCAGCCAUACCGCGUGGGUGAAGAAGGCCUUCGGGUUGUAAAGCCCUGUUGUUGGGAAAGAAAAGAAGCAGGUUAAUACCCGGAUGUUCUGACGGUACCCAAAGAAUAAGCACCGGCUAACUUCGUG
RNAcentral lists this ribosomal RNA (492 nucleotides) under uncultured bacterium. RNAcentral describes it as "partial 16S ribosomal RNA". It matches the Rfam family "Bacterial small subunit ribosomal RNA", at positions 29 to 507 of the family's 1533-position model. The record is from RNAcentral.